Molecule: Y RNA, 114 nt
Filed under: Rhinopithecus bieti (black snub-nosed monkey)
Lineage: Eukaryota; Metazoa; Chordata; Mammalia; Primates; Cercopithecidae
Also listed under: 1 other name
Description: Y RNA (ENSRBIG00000003743.1)
Rfam family: Y RNA
About the family: Y RNAs are components of the Ro ribonucleoprotein particle (Ro RNP), in association with Ro60 and La proteins. The Y RNAs and Ro60 and La proteins are well conserved, but the function of the Ro RNP is not known. In humans the RNA component can be one of four small RNAs -- hY1, hY3, hY4 and hY5.
Source: Rfam by way of RNAcentral
GGCUGGUUCCGAACAUAGUGAGUUCUCUCAGCUGAUUGUUUACGGUCAAUUGCAAAUGGAAAUGCUUGUUCUAUUUCUUUCCCUCUUCUUACUACUGCACUUGACUAGCCUAAA